AUGGGGUGCUGCUGCUCAUGGAUUCGUGGUCAUUGCACCGUGAAAUGCAGCAGCAUACGCCUCGGGUGCUGCUGCUCGUGGGUUCGUGGUCUUCGCACCGUGAAAUGCAGAAGCAUACGCCUCCUGAGCUGUGCUUGCUGUUGUUCAUGGAUCCGUGGCUUGUGCGGCAGGAAGAAGAGGGAGGCUGGGCAAGAGACAUCGACAUCAGAGAGAAAGAAAACAAAGAGGAAGUGGAGGCGCAAUUUCUGUGGCUGGACGUCACAUGAAGCGAAGGAGCCAUCAACAUCAGAGACAAAGAAAACAAAGAGGAAGUGGGGCCGCAAUUUCUGUGGCUGGACGUCACAUGAAGCGGAGGAGCCAUUGACAUCAGAGACAAAGAAAACAAAGAGGAAGUGGGGCCGCAAUUUCUGUGGCUGGACGUCACAUGAAGCGGAGGAGCCAUCGACAUCAGAGACAAAGAAGAAGAGGAAGAACGGGGCGUCGAGCUCUGAGCCGGACAACAAAAGGUGGUUCAAGACCAAGAUUUGGAGAAAGAAGAAGGCCAAGAACAAACAGUUGGCAACCCUUGUGAAAGAGAUUUCACUCCCAAAUAGUCCCAAGGCCAGGGCUGCGGCAGGGGAAAUACUACGGAUCGGCAACCACAACAUUCCUAGCAGAGUGUUUACGUACAGUCAACUGUCAGACGCGACCAAUUCUUUCAGCCAGGAGAAUCUCCUGGGAGAAGGUGGCUUUGGAAGGGUGUACAAAGGAUACAUUCCAGAGACCAUGGAAGUCAUAGCGGUUAAGCAGCUGGACAAGGAUGGGUUGCAAGGAAAUCGUGAGUUCCUUGUCGAGGUGCUGAUGCUUAGCCUCCUUCAUCACCCAAACCUUGUCACCUUGCUCGGUUACUGCACCGAAUGUGACCAAAAGAUUCUAGUGUAUGAGUAUAUGCCACUCGGUUCUUUACAAGAUCAUCUCCUAGAUCUCACUCCAAAAUCUCAGCCGCUGUCCUGGCAUAUGCGGAUGAAGAUUGCAGUUGAUGCUGCCAGAGGCCUCGAGUACUUGCAUGAGGUAGCCAAUCCACCGGUGGUAUACCGUGAUCUCAAGGCAUCAAAUAUUCUCUUGGACGGGAACUUGAGUGCAAAGUUGGCAGAUUUUGGCCUUGCAAAGCUUGGCCCAGUCGGCGACAAAACUCAUGUCACCACAAGGGUGAUGGGCACGUACGGAUACUGCGCUCCCGAGUACGCCAUGAGUGGCAAGUUAACAAAGAUGUCAGACAUAUAUUGCUUUGGUGUAGUUUUCUUGGAGCUCAUCACUGGGAGGCGAGCAAUCGACACCACGAAACCAACUCGCGAGCAAAUUCUUGUCCACUGGGCAGCGCCACUCUUCAAGGAUAAGAAGAAGUUCACCAAGAUGGCUGAUCCAAAACUUGACAGCAAGUACCCCUUAAAAGGUCUAUACCAUGCACUUGCAAUUUCAUCAAUGUGCCUACAAGAAGAAGCAAGCAGUCGUCCACUAAUCAGUGAUGUGGUGACGGCCCUUACAUUUCUUGCUGAUCCAAACUAUGACCCUCCAGAUGACAUUGAACCUCUACCUAUAACAGUUCCCGAUUUCGACAGAGGAAUUAGCCUAGGCGAACCUGAAGAGGUCAAAGAAAAGUUUGAGGGAAAACAAGUAGAGGAUAGCUAA
This 1668-nucleotide ribosomal RNA is filed under the name Triticum aestivum (bread wheat). Its description in RNAcentral is "partial small subunit ribosomal RNA". The record is from RNAcentral. Lineage: Eukaryota; Viridiplantae; Streptophyta; Magnoliopsida; Poales; Poaceae.